Molecule: ribosomal RNA, 524 nt
Filed under: uncultured bacterium
Lineage: Bacteria
Description: bacterial SSU rRNA
Rfam family: Bacterial small subunit ribosomal RNA
Source: RNAcentral
AGAGUUUGAUCAUGGCUCAGAUUGAACGCUGGCGGCAGGCCUAACACAUGCAAGUCGAGCGGUAGAGAGAAGCUUGCUUCUCUUGAGAGCGGCGGACGGGUGAGUAAUGCCUAGGAAUCUGCCUGGUAGUGGGGGAUAACGUCCGGAAACGGACGCUAAUACCGCAUACGUCCUACGGGAGAAAGCAGGGGACCUUCGGGCCUUGCGCUAUCAGAUGAGCCUAGGUCGGAUUAGCUAGUUGGUGGGGUAAUGGCUCACCAAGGCGACGAUCCGUAACUGGUCUGAGAGGAUGAUCAGUCACACUGGAACUGAGACACGGUCCAGACUCCUACGGGAGGCAGCAGUGGGGAAUAUUGGACAAUGGGCGAAAGCCUGAUCCAGCCAUGCCGCGUGUGUGAAGAAGGUCUUCGGAUUGUAAAGCACUUUAAGUUGGGAGGAAGGGCAGUAAAUUAAUACUUUGCUGUUUUGACGUAACCGACAGAAUAAGCACCGGCUAACUCUGUGCCAGCAGCCGCGGUAAUACA